This 466-nucleotide ribosomal RNA is filed under the name uncultured bacterium. Its description in RNAcentral is "partial 16S ribosomal RNA". It matches the Rfam family "Bacterial small subunit ribosomal RNA", at positions 28 to 507 of the family's 1533-position model. The record is from RNAcentral.
GAUGAACGCUGGCGGCGUGCUUAACACAUGCAAGUCGAACGAUGAAGCUCAGCUUGCUGGGUGGAUUAGUGGCGAACGGGUGAGUAACCCGUGAGUAACCUGCCCCUAACUCUGGGUUAAGCCUGGGAAACUGGGUCUAAUACCGAUUAUGAGCGUUCACCGCAUGGUGGGUGUUGGAAAGAUUUAUCGUUUUUGGAUGGACUCGCGGCCUAUCAGCUUCUUGGUGAGGUAAUGGCUCACCAAGGCAACGACGGGUAGCCUGCCUGAGAGGGUGACCGGCCACGCUGGGACUGAGACACGGCACAGACUCCAACGGGAGGCAGCAGAGGGGAAUAUUGCACAAUGGGCGGAAGCCUGAUGCAGUGACGCCGCGUGAGGGAUGACGGCCUUCAGGUUGUAAACCUCUUUCAGUAGGGAAGAAGCGAAAGUGACGGUACCUGCAGAAGAAGCACCGGCUAACUACGUG